This 465-nucleotide ribosomal RNA is filed under the name uncultured ciliate. Its description in RNAcentral is "SSU rRNA". It matches the Rfam family "Eukaryotic small subunit ribosomal RNA". The record is from RNAcentral. Lineage: Eukaryota; Ciliophora.
AUUUGUCUGGUUAAUUCCGAUAACGAACGAGACCUUAACCUGCUAACUAGAUUCUUCUAUACUAUAGAUGAUAUCUUCUUAGAGGGACUAUGUAAUACAAAUACAUGGAAGUUUGAGGCAAUAACAGGUCAGUGAUGCCCUUAUAUGUCCUGGGCUGCACGCGUGCUACACUGAUGCAUACAACAAGUGCCUAACCAGACAUGGUAUGGCAAUCUCGAAUAUGCAUCGUGAUGGGGAUAGAUCUUUGCAAUUAUAGAUCUUGAACGAGGAAUUCCUAGUAAGUGCAAGUCGUCAUCUUGCAUUGAUUAUGUCCCUGCCCUUUGUACACACCGCCCGUCGCUCCUACCGAUACCGGGUGAUCCGGUGAACCUUUUGGACUCAUUUGGGAAAGAUAAGUAAACCAUAUCACCUAGAGGAAGGAGAAGUCGUAACAAGGUUUCCGUAGGUGAACCUGCRGAAGGAUCA